CACGUCAAGAUGGCGUCGCCUGUUGAGC
Molecule: small RNA, 28 nt
Filed under: Bombyx mori (domestic silkworm)
Lineage: Eukaryota; Metazoa; Arthropoda; Insecta; Lepidoptera; Bombycidae
Description: ovarian small RNA-13037
Source: RNAcentral